Molecule: ribosomal RNA, 449 nt
Filed under: uncultured eukaryote
Lineage: Eukaryota
Description: SSU rRNA
Rfam family: Eukaryotic small subunit ribosomal RNA
Source: RNAcentral
AGCUCCACUAGCGUAUAUUAAAAUUGUUGCGGUUAAAACGUUCGAAGUUUGAUUUUGUCCAGCACGAGCGGUGCGCCUAAGUUAUUGGUUGCACUUUGCUCUUGAUGCUAGGACUAUAAGUUUGUGACACCUACAGUUUGGCGUCUCGUGCGUCGGCUGUAGGCAAAUUGCUCUUGGCAUGCUCUUAAUCGGGUGUGUCUCGUGGCAAGUCCGACUAUUUAUUACCUUGAACAAAUUAGAGUGCUCAAAGCAGGCUAUUAUCGCCUUGAAUAAUCUUGCAUGGAAUAAUGGAAUAGGACCUCGAUCAAUAUAUUUCAUUGGUUUGAAUCGAUCAAGAGGUAAUGAUUAAUAAAAGCAGUUGGGGGCAUUAGUAUUACGACGCGAGAGGUGAAAUUCAUAGACCGUCGUAAGACUAACUGAAGCGAAAGCAUUUGCCAAGGAUGUUUUCC